CUUGCCCUAGAGGAAAAGGCAAAUCUGACAUCAUCCAUCUUCCAGUCUGAAGUUGAAGGUGAACUUUUGUCCAUAGAUCAGUGGAUGAACAGCAUACACCUGUAUGUGAAAAAGCAGUAUGAAUAUGGUGUUCAAUUAUGAUACUGGCUAUGAUAUUCACAAUAGCCUUCAAGUCCUUGCAGACCACCUUUUUACAUAUUUCCAUCUGGACUGGAUUUCCAUCACUCUGGUUCAAGCCACGGGAGAUGAGCCCUCGUAGAGAUGCUGCCUGCAUCCCAGAAGCCAGAGUGAUGUUGCCCAGCCCCUUCCCCAAGACCAACACUCAGCAUCUCAGCAUCCAGCUGCCAGAGCUUGGUGGGGGUUUUGCUUCUUCACUUUAUGCCAUUUCUGCUGAGGGAAGGCUUCAAAGGAGCACUCUGCUUGCGGAUAAUGGGAAAAACCUGCAUCUUGACAUCUUUGCCAGUCCAGUGGAGAGGUCUGGAGCAAAGACUGCUCUUCAGAUGAGUGCUGGGUUUGUCCCAGCCCUUGUGUGACAAGCUUGCUCAGUCAAGGAAAAUGUGACCGGAGCUCAAACUCUA
RNAcentral lists this long non-coding RNA (578 nucleotides) under Felis catus (domestic cat). Its description in RNAcentral is "lncRNA (ENSFCAG00000046478.2)". Lineage: Eukaryota; Metazoa; Chordata; Mammalia; Carnivora; Felidae. The record is from RNAcentral.